This 486-nucleotide long non-coding RNA is filed under the name Phascolarctos cinereus (koala). RNAcentral's name for it is "lncRNA (ENSPCIG00000026200.2)". The record is from RNAcentral. Lineage: Eukaryota; Metazoa; Chordata; Mammalia; Diprotodontia; Phascolarctidae.
CAGAGUGACUGAGGGUCAGAGACACAACAUGAGCCCAGGUUCCUCUGACUUCAAACCCAGGGCUGAACUACUAUUCCAUACUGCCUCUUCAUAUGUUGGCUAUACUGGGGUUUGGACAAUUCCUUCUCCUCUCUGAGUCUCAGUUUCCUGAGUUAUAAAGAGAUUGAACUUGAUUUCUGCUAUAAAUAUUUUGGUCCGAGAUGACCAUCACCCCGAGCUGCCACCUCCGAGGAGGCUUAGAAACAGACCUGUGGCAGCAGAGGGCUGCGAGAGGGGCUGUGGGAACGGCAGCCUGGGUUCCAGGAAGCACCAGAUUCCUAGAGGAGGAGGCUCACAGAUGGGCCAAGUAAAUAGACCUAGACAACAGAGGGACACACUUGGGAACCUGUGUGCCAUUUUUGAUCAGACACGGCCAUGUGGCGGAGCGGGUGCAGGGACAAAACAGGUCUGAUCAUCUCUCCAAAAUGCCCCACCCAGGCUAGCACU